Molecule: transfer RNA, 73 nt
Filed under: Chloroflexota bacterium
Lineage: Bacteria; Bacillati; Chloroflexota
Description: Chloroflexi bacterium (anaerobic digester metagenome) tRNA-Arg
Rfam family: tRNA
About the family: Transfer RNA (tRNA) molecules are approximately 80 nucleotides in length. Their secondary structure includes four short double-helical elements and three loops (D, anti-codon, and T loops). Further hydrogen bonds mediate the characteristic L-shaped molecular structure. tRNAs have two regions of fundamental functional importance: the anti-codon, which is responsible for specific mRNA codon recognition, and the 3' end, to which the tRNAs corresponding amino acid is attached (by aminoacyl-tRNA synthetases). tRNAs cope with the degeneracy of the genetic code in two manners: having more than one tRNA (with a specific anti-codon) for a particular amino acid; and 'wobble' base-pairing, i.e. permitting non-standard base-pairing at the 3rd anti-codon position.
Source: RNAcentral
GCCCCCUUAGCUCAGUUGGAUAGAGCACUGGCCCCCGGAGCCAGGUGCAGGCGUUCAAAUCGCCUAGGGGGUA